Molecule: transfer RNA, 72 nt
Organism: Blastomyces gilchristii SLH14081
Lineage: Eukaryota; Fungi; Ascomycota; Eurotiomycetes; Onygenales; Ajellomycetaceae
Rfam family: tRNA
About the family: Transfer RNA (tRNA) molecules are approximately 80 nucleotides in length.
Source: Rfam
CCCCGCGUAGCUUAAUAGUAAAGCGUAUCACUAGUAAUGAUAAGAUCCUCGGUUCGAUGCCGAGUGUGGGCA